GUCCGAGAUGAUUCCCCGUUUACAAUGGCGUCACGCUAGGGAUGUGAGGGCGUUAGUAAAGAGCAGGGGUAGAGUGAACAAAAUCAUGGCAAAUUAUAUUUGUUGAUUGGGGGCGGUGGUCGUUAGACACCGUGACUUGGAGGCGAAGCUUCCGGGAUAUUUCCAGCCGGACGGUUUUCAUCUUUCUGAUGUGGGUCUGGACUUUAUGUUGUUUGGUUUUCAG
Pelobates cultripes (western spadefoot toad) is the source of this 223-nucleotide non-coding RNA. Lineage: Eukaryota; Metazoa; Chordata; Amphibia; Anura; Pelobatidae. The record is from the annotation of a GenBank genome assembly.